CCUACGGGAGGCAGCAGUGGGGAAUUUUGGACAAUGGGCGCAAGCCUGAUCCAGCCAUGCCGCGUGUGGGAAGAAGGCCUUCGGGUUGUAAACCACUUUUGUCAGGGAAGAAACGGCUCUUACUAAUAUUAGGAGCUAAUGACGGUACCUGAAGAAUAAGCACCGGCUAACUACGUGCCAGCAGCCGCGGUAAUACGUAGGGUGCAAGCGUUAAUCGGAAUUACUGGGCGUAAAGCGUGCGCAGGCGGCUUUGCAAGACAGAUGUGAAAUCCCCGGGCUCAACCUGGGAACUGCAUUUGUGACUGCAUGGCUAGAGUACGGUAGAGGGGGAUGGAAUUCCGCGUGUAGCAGUGAAAUGCGUAGAUAUGCGGAGGAACACCGAUGGCGAAGGCAAUCCCCUGGACCUGUACUGACGCUCAUGCACGAAAGCGUGGGGAGCAAACAGGAUUAGAUACCCUGGUAGUCCACGCCCUAAACGAUGUCAACUGGUUGUUGGACGGCUUGCUGUUCAGUAACGAAGCUAACGCGUGAAGUUGACCGCCUGGGGAGUACGGCCGCAAGGUUGAAACUUAAAUGAAAUUGACCGGNNGAGAGNGCGACGACGACGACGAGGGAGGAGG
Molecule: ribosomal RNA, 620 nt
Filed under: uncultured bacterium
Lineage: Bacteria
Description: bacterial SSU rRNA
Rfam family: Bacterial small subunit ribosomal RNA
Source: RNAcentral